UACGAAGGGGGCUAGCGUUGCUCGGAAUCACUGGGCGUAAAGCGCACGUAGGCGGGUCUUUAAGUCAGGGGUGAAAUCCUGGAGCUCAACUCCAGAACUGCCUUUGAUACUGAGGAUCUCGAGUCCGGGAGAGGUGAGUGGAACUCCGAGUGUAGAGGUGAAAUUCGUAGAUAUUCGGAAGAACACCAGUGGCAAAGGCGGCUCACUGGCCCGGUACUGACGCUGAGGUGCGAAAGCGUGGGGAGCAAACAGG
This 253-nucleotide ribosomal RNA is filed under the name uncultured bacterium. RNAcentral's name for it is "partial 16S ribosomal RNA". It matches the Rfam family "Bacterial small subunit ribosomal RNA", at positions 524 to 776 of the family's 1533-position model. The record is from RNAcentral.